This 1350-nucleotide ribosomal RNA is filed under the name Burkholderia cenocepacia. Its description in RNAcentral is "partial 23S ribosomal RNA". It matches the Rfam family "Bacterial large subunit ribosomal RNA", at positions 1577 to 2916 of the family's 2925-position model. Lineage: Bacteria; Pseudomonadati; Pseudomonadota; Betaproteobacteria; Burkholderiales; Burkholderiaceae. The record is from RNAcentral.
CUUAGGGAGCGAAGCAAUUGGAAGUGGUUCCAAGAAAAGCCUCUAAGCUUCAGUCUAACGAUGACCGUACCGCAAACCGACACAGGUGGGCGAGAUGAGUAUUCUAAGGCGCUUGAGAGAACUCGGGAGAAGGAACUCGGCAAAUUGGUACCGUAACUUCGGGAUAAGGUACGCCCUUGUAGCUUGACUGGCCUGCGCCAGGAGGGUGAAGGGGUUGCAAUAAACUGGUGGCUGCGACUGUUUAAUAAAAACACAGCACUCUGCAAACACGAAAGUGGACGUAUAGGGUGUGACGCCUGCCCGGUGCCGGAAGAUUAAAUGAUGGGGUGCAAGCUCUUGAUUGAAGUCCCGGUAAACGGCGGCCGUAACUAUAACGGUCCUAAGGUAGCGAAAUUCCUUGUCGGGUAAGUUCCGACCUGCACGAAUGGCGUAACGAUGGCCACACUGUCUCCUCCCGAGACUCAGCGAAGUUGAAGUGUUUGUGAUGAUGCAAUCUACCCGCGGCUAGACGGAAAGACCCCAUGAACCUUUACUGUAGCUUUGCAUUGGACUUUGAACCGAUCUGUGUAGGAUAGGUGGGAGGCUAUGAAACCGGAACGCUAGUUUCGGUGGAGCCGUCCUUGAAAUACCACCCUGGUUUGUUUGAGGUUCUAACCUUGGCCCGUGAUCCGGGUCGGGGACAGUGCAUGGUAGGCAGUUUGACUGGGGCGGUCUCCUCCCAAAGCGUAACGGAGGAGUACGAAGGUACGCUAGGUACGGUCGGAAAUCGUGCUGAUAGUGCAAUGGCAUAAGCGUGCUUAACUGCGAGACCGACAAGUCGAGCAGGUGCGAAAGCAGGUCAUAGUGAUCCGGUGGUUCUGUAUGGAAGGGCCAUCGCUCAACGGAUAAAAGGUACUCUGGGGAUAACAGGCUGAUACCGCCCAAGAGUUCAUAUCGACGGCGGUGUUUGGCACCUCGAUGUCGGCUCAUCUCAUCCUGGGGCUGUAGCCGGUCCCAAGGGUAUGGCUGUUCGCCAUUUAAAGAGGUACGUGAGCUGGGUUUAAAACGUCGUGAGACAGUUUGGUCCCUAUCUGCCGUGGGCGUUGGAUAUUUGAAGGGGGCUGCUCCUAGUACGAGAGGACCGGAGUGGACGAACCUCUGGUGUACCGGUUGUCACGCCAGUGGCAUCGCCGGGUAGCUAUGUUCGGAAGAGAUAACCGCUGAAAGCAUCUAAGCGGGAAACUCGCCUUAAGAUGAGAUAUCCCUGGGGACUAGAUCCCCUUGAAGGGUCGUUCGAGACCAGGACGUUGAUAGGUCAGGUGUGUAAGCGCAGUAAUGCGUUCAGCUAACUGAUACUAAUUGCCCGUAAGG